Molecule: ribosomal RNA, 925 nt
Filed under: uncultured bacterium
Lineage: Bacteria
Description: bacterial SSU rRNA
Rfam family: Bacterial small subunit ribosomal RNA
Source: RNAcentral
GAGUUUGAUCCUGGCUCAGGACGAACGCUGGCGGCGUGCCUAAUGCAUGCAAGUCGCACGCACUCGCUUCGGCGGGUGAGUGGCGCACGGCUGAGUAACACGUGGGAACCCGCCCCCCGGUGGGGGAUAACGCGACGAAAGUCGCGCUAAUCCCGCAUACGUCCGCAGGGGGAGAGCGCUUCGGCGCGCCGGGGGAGGGGCCUGCGGCCCAUCAGGUCGUUGGUGGGGUAACGGCCUACCAAGCCGAUGACGGGUAGCUGGUCUGGGAGGAUGACCAGCCAGACUGGGACUGAGACACGGCCCAGACUCCUACGGGAGGCAGCAGCAAGGAAUUUUCGGCAAUGGGCGCAAGCCUGACCGAGCAACGCCGCGUGCGGGAUGACGGCCUUCGGGUUGUAAACCGCUUUUCGGGGGGACGAUGAUGACGGUACCCCCGGAACAAGCCCCGGCUAACUCUGUGCCAGCAGCCGCGGUAAGACAGAGGGGGCGAGCGUUGUCCGGAGUCACUGGGCGUAAAGCGCGCGCAGGCGGUCGCCAAAGUGUCGUGUGAAAGCCCCCGGCUCAACCGGGGGAGGCCAUGGCAAACUCGGCGACUGGAGCGGCGGAGAGGCCCCUCGAAUUGCCGGUGUAGCGGUGAAAUGCGUAGAGAUCGGCAGGAAGACCAAGGGGGAAGCCAGGGGGCUGGCCGCUGGCUGACGCUGAGGCGCGACAGCGUGGGGAGCGAACCGGAUUAGAUACCCGGGUAGUCCACGCCGUAAACAAUGACCACUCGGCGUGCGGCGACUAUUGACGUCGCGGUGCGCCUUAGCUCACGCACUAAGUGGUCCGCCUGGGAACUACGAGCGCAAGCUUAAAACUCAAGGAAUUGACGGGGGCCCGCACAAGCAGCGGAGCGUGUGGUUUAAUUCGAGGCAACCCGAAGAAC